AAAUAUCCUUCAUUUCAUCAAAUGUCAAACAGCGAUUUACGAGAACAUAACCUAAAAUAAUUUUGAAUAUUGAUUUACAAAUAUUAUAAAAUGUACGGGAAUGAAUUUGAUGAGUAAAAUAGUAAUAGUGGAAUUUAUUGUGAAGAUAGUGUUUGCAUAGUUUCGCAUUUAUUAAGUUAGGAAUAUGCUCCGAGCGGUAUCUAGCAUUUACAUAGAAAGCCAGGCUCUUGAGCUGCUAACCACAGCCAGAAGAGAUGUUUUUAAAUUAUUCCGCACUAGCUCGUCGAGCACACCACUGGCUCACCAGACAGUAUUGACAUCCAGUGGUGGUCAAGCUGACAGUGCACACAGAGCGCGCGGCGCGGCGGCGCGCGGGGCGCAUCCCGC
Molecule: long non-coding RNA, 387 nt
Organism: Ostrinia nubilalis (European corn borer)
Lineage: Eukaryota; Metazoa; Arthropoda; Insecta; Lepidoptera; Crambidae
Exons: 3
Source: RefSeq, a predicted model, not a curated record